This 897-nucleotide ribosomal RNA is filed under the name Trichoderma koningii. Its description in RNAcentral is "LSU rRNA". It matches the Rfam family "Eukaryotic large subunit ribosomal RNA", at positions 38 to 964 of the family's 3401-position model. Lineage: Eukaryota; Fungi; Ascomycota; Sordariomycetes; Hypocreales; Hypocreaceae. The record is from RNAcentral.
UCAUAUCAAUAAGCGGAGGAAAAGAAACCAACAGGGAUUGCCCCAGUAACGGCGAGUGAAGCGGCAACAGCUCAAAUUUGAAAUCUGGCCCCUCGGGGUCCGAGUUGUAAUUUGUAGAGGAUGCUUUUGGUGAGGUGCCGCCCGAGUUCCCUGGAACGGGACGCCACAGAGGGUGAGAGCCCCGUCUGGCUGGCCACCGAGCCUCUGUAAAGCUCCUUCGACGAGUCGAGUAGUUUGGGAAUGCUGCUCAAAAUGGGAGGUAUAUGUCUUCUAAAGCUAAAUAUUGGCCAGAGACCGAUAGCGCACAAGUAGAGUGAUCGAAAGAUGAAAAGCACCUUGAAAAGAGGGUUAAAUAGUACGUGAAAUUGUUGAAAGGGAAGCGCUUGUGACCAGACUUGGGCGCGGCGGAUCAUCCGGGGUUCUCUCCGGUGCACUUCGCCGCGUUCAGGCCAGCAUCAGUUCGUCGCGGGGGAAAAAGGCUUCGGGAACGUGGCUCCUCCGGGAGUGUUAUAGCCCGUUGCAUAAUACCCUGCUUUGGACUGAGGACCGCGCAUCUGCAAGGAUGCUGGCGUAAUGGUCACCAGCGACCCGUCUUGAAACACGGACCAAGGAGUCGUCUUCGUAUGCGAGUGUUCGGGUGUAAAACCCCUACGCGUAAUGAAAGUGAACGCAGGUGAGAGCUUCGGCGCAUCAUCGACCGAUCCUGAUGUUCUCGGAUGGAUUUGAGUAAGAGCAUACGGGGCCGGACCCGAAAGAAGGUGAACUAUGCCUGUAUAGGGUGAAGCCAGAGGAAACUCUGGUGGAGGCUCGCAGCGGUUCUGACGUGCAAAUCGAUCGUCAAAUAUGGGCAUGGGGGCGAAAGACUAAUCGAACCUUCUAGUAGCUGGUUUCCGCGAU